RNAcentral lists this transfer RNA (72 nucleotides) under Candidatus Woesearchaeota archaeon. RNAcentral describes it as "tRNA-Gly". It matches the Rfam family "tRNA". From Rfam's summary of the family: Transfer RNA (tRNA) molecules are approximately 80 nucleotides in length. Their secondary structure includes four short double-helical elements and three loops (D, anti-codon, and T loops). Lineage: Archaea; Nanobdellati; Candidatus Woesearchaeota. The record is from RNAcentral.
GCGCCAGUAGUCUAGUGGUUAGGAUUUGAGCUUCCCAAGCUCGCGACGCGGGUUCGAAUCCCGCCUGGCGCA